Long non-coding RNA from Nematostella vectensis (starlet sea anemone), 726 nucleotides. RefSeq lists it as uncharacterized. The record is from RefSeq and is a predicted model, not a curated record. The transcript is spliced from 2 exons. NCBI's taxonomy places the organism in Eukaryota, Metazoa, Cnidaria, Anthozoa, Actiniaria, Edwardsiidae.
UCGACAUGGCGCGCGGGUAAUACCAAAGUCCCUCUCUUAUCUUAUGCUCUCUUGUGUCAACUGCAUAAGCACGAAAACAGUUCAUAGAAAAGAAAAACACUGCAUACAACAAAAUCUUGCUGUUUUCGACUCGAUUUCAAACUAGUUAUAUAGUAGAAGCAGUUCAUCAAGCCUUAAUAAUCAGUAUAGCGCCUUAGCAAAUCCCCCUUACCACCCCCUCUAAAAAGGAAGUUAUAUAUAAGCGCCAAGAGGCGCAUUCUAAAACAAACAUAUGCUAUGACAAAAUCCACACUAACCGUGAGAGCUGACAAUAGAUGCUCCAUUCAGGACGUAAACAAACACACACAACCCGGUGAGGGUCUGAACCUUUCUGCUGAACAUCCUACGAAAAGCAGUUAGACAAAAAGAUUGUUACAGGAAGAGCAAGUUGGAGUUCUUAGGAUACAUAUUCUCUGGCCAAAGACUCUCCCCUGACCCCAAGAUGGUAGAGGAAGUGGUCAAUCUCCAGAAGCCGACUUCUAGAGAUCUGAAGUACGCAGUCUUCUUGGCAUGACCAACUACUGCUCUAGGUUUAUUCCCGACUAUGCGACGAAGACAGAACCUCUGCGCAAGUUGACGCACUGGAAUUAGGAUACUUUGUCUGCGAUUUUAUUUAAAAAUAAACAAAAAUGAAUCCCCAAUUUAUGUUAAAUAUUGAACUCAUCGAAUAAAAUAUUUCUAACCUUA